Molecule: ribosomal RNA, 382 nt
Filed under: Escherichia coli
Lineage: Bacteria; Pseudomonadati; Pseudomonadota; Gammaproteobacteria; Enterobacterales; Enterobacteriaceae
Description: bacterial SSU rRNA
Rfam family: Bacterial small subunit ribosomal RNA
Source: RNAcentral
AAAUUGAAGAGUUUGAUCAUGGCUCAGAUUGAACGCUGGCGGCAGGCCUAACACAUGCAAGUCGAACGGUAACAGGAAGAAGCUUGCUUCUUUGCUGACGAGUGGCGGACGGGUGAGUAAUGUCUGGGAAACUGCCUGAUGGAGGGGGAUAACUACUGGAAACGGUAGCUAAUACCGCAUAACGUCGCAAGACCAAAGAGGGGGACCUUCGGGCCUCUUGCCAUCGGAUGUGCCCAGAUGGGAUUAGCUAGUAGGUGGGGUAACGGCUCACCUAGGCGACGAUCCCUAGCUGGUCUGAGAGGAUGACCAGCCACACUGGAACUGAGACACGGUCCAGACUCCUACGGGAGGCAGCAGUGGGGAAUAUUGCACAAUGGGCGCA